This 704-nucleotide ribosomal RNA is filed under the name uncultured fungus. RNAcentral describes it as "eukaryotic LSU rRNA". The stretch from base 193 to 346 matches the Rfam family "5.8S ribosomal RNA". Lineage: Eukaryota; Fungi. The record is from RNAcentral.
GCGGAAGGAUCAUUAAUGAGUUAGGGUCCUCCAGGCCCGACCUCCAACCCUUUGUUUAACUACCAUGUUGCUUUGGCGGGCCCGUCUUUAACCGGACCGUCGGGGGUUUUAAACCCCUGGCCAGUGCCCGUCAGUAGCCUACCACAAAUACUUUUUAACCAUGUUAUAUCUGAAAAUAGUUAAAUAAACUAAAACUUUCAACAACGGAUCUCUUGGUUCUGGCAUCGAUGAAGAACGCAGCGAAAUGCGAUAAGUAAUGCGAAUUGCAGAAUUCAGUGAGUCAUCGAAUCUUUGAACGCACAUUGCGCCCUUUAGUAUUCUGAAGGGCAUGCCUGUUCGAGCGUCAUUAUCACUAAUCAAGCCUGGCUUGCUGUUGGGUCUCUUUGUCGCUGAAACCGACAGGCCCUAAAGAUAAUGACGGCGUUACUUGGACCCUAGAUGCAACGAGCUUUCAUUAGCACGCGUUUAGUCGGACCUUUUAACCCGGUCUUUUUAACCAAUUUUCUAAGGUUGACCUCGGAUCAGGUAGGAAUACCCGCUGAACUUAAGCAUAUCAAUAAGCGGAGGAAAAGAAACCAACAGGGAUUACCUCAGUAACGGCGAGUGAAGCGGUAAUAGCUCAAAUUUGAAAUCUGGCUCUUUCAGGUCCGAGUUGUAAUUUGUAGAGGACGUUUCGGGCACGGCUACGUUUAAAUUUCUUGGAA